RNAcentral lists this ribosomal RNA (567 nucleotides) under uncultured sponge symbiont RSWS24. Its description in RNAcentral is "bacterial SSU rRNA". It matches the Rfam family "Bacterial small subunit ribosomal RNA", at positions 85 to 668 of the family's 1533-position model. The record is from RNAcentral.
CCGUUGUCGAGUGGCGAACGGGUGAGUAACACGUGAGGAACCUGCCCCGGAGACCGGGACAACCAGGGGAAACCCUGGCUAAUACCGGAUGCCCUCGGAUGGUCGCAUGGCCAACCGAGGAAACGCUUCGGUGCUCCGGGAGGGCCUCGCGGCCUAUCAGCUUGUUGGUGGGGUAACGGCCCACCAAGGCAUCGACGGGUAGCUGGUCUGAGAGGACGAUCAGCCACACUGGGACUGAGACACGGCCCAGACUCCUACGGGAGGCAGCAGUGGGGAAUAUUGCGCAAUGGGCGAAAGCCUGACGCAGCAACGCCGCGUGGGGGAUGAAGGCCUUCGGGUUGUAAACCCCUUUCAGCAGGGACGAAAAUGACGGUACCUGCAGAAGAAGCCCCGGCCAACUACGUGCCAGCAGCCGCGGUAACACGUAGGGGGCGAGCGUUGUCCGGAUUUAUUGGGCGUAAAGAGCUCGUAGGCGGUUGCGUAAGUCGGAUGUGAAAACUCAGGGCUCAACCCGGAGACGCCAUCCGAUACUGCGCUGACUAGAGUCCGGUAGGGGAGCAUGGAAUU